AGAGUUUGAUCCUGGCUCAGGACGAACGCUGGCGGCGUGCUUAACACAUGCAAGUCGAGCGGUAAGGCCUUUCGGGGUACACGAGCGGCGAACGGGUGAGUAACACGUGGGUGAUCUGCCCUGCACUUCGGGAUAAGCUUGGGAAACUGGGUCUAAUACCGGAUAUGACCUCAGGUUGCAUGACUUGGGGUGGAAAGAUUUAUCGGUGCAGGAUGGGCCCGCGGCCUAUCAGCUUGUUGGUGGGGUAAUGGCCUACCAAGGCGACGACGGGUAGCCGACCUGAGAGGGUGACCGGCCACACUGGGACUGAACACGGCCCAACUCCUACGGGAGGCAGCAGUGGGGAAUAUUGCACAAUGGGCGAAAGCCUGAUGCAGCGACGCCCGUGAGGGAUGACGGCCUUCGGGUUGUAAACCUCUUUCAGCAGGGACGAAGCGCAGUGACGGUACCUGCAGAAGAAGCACCGGCUAACUACGUGCCAGCAGCCGCGGUAAA
This 495-nucleotide ribosomal RNA is filed under the name uncultured Rhodococcus sp. RNAcentral describes it as "bacterial SSU rRNA". It matches the Rfam family "Bacterial small subunit ribosomal RNA", at positions 8 to 524 of the family's 1533-position model. The record is from RNAcentral. Lineage: Bacteria; Bacillati; Actinomycetota; Actinomycetes; Mycobacteriales; Nocardiaceae.